This is a long non-coding RNA of Larimichthys crocea (large yellow croaker), 345 nucleotides long. RefSeq lists it as uncharacterized. The transcript has 3 exons. The record is from RefSeq and is a predicted model, not a curated record. NCBI's taxonomy places the organism in Eukaryota, Metazoa, Chordata, Actinopteri, Sciaenidae.
CAGAUGAGCAUCUUGAGGAUAAUGAGGCAGAAUACAUCCACUGGCUAGUAGGGAACAUACCAGGAGGAGCAGUGCAUGCUGGGGAGGAGCUGUGUCACUACCUGCCCCCCUUCCCUGCCAGAGGAACGGGCUUCCACCGCUACGUUUAUGUCCUCUUCAAGCAGGAGCGGCACAUCAACUUACAGGAGGAUGCCAGGCCGUCGCCAUGCCAUUCUCUGGUGGAUCGUACAUUCAAGACGUUGGAUUUCUACAGAAAGCACCAGGACAAUAUAACACCUGCAGGCCUGGCAUUCUUCCAGUGCCAGUGCGAUGAAUCUGUCACCAACACCUUUCACAACACACUCA